Molecule: ribosomal RNA, 254 nt
Filed under: uncultured bacterium
Lineage: Bacteria
Description: partial 16S ribosomal RNA
Rfam family: Bacterial small subunit ribosomal RNA
Source: RNAcentral
UACGGAGGAUCCAAGCGUUAUCCGGAAUUACUGGGCGUAAAGAGUUGCGUAGGUGGCAGAGUAAGUAGACAGUGAAAGCGUGUGGCUCAACCAUAUAAACAUUGUCUAAACUGCUCAGCUAGAGGAUGAGAGAGGUUAUUGGAAUUCCCAGUGUAGGAGUGGAAUCCGUAGAUAUUGGGAAGAACACCGAUGGCGUAGGCAGAUAACUGGCUCAUUCCUGACACUCAGGCACGAAAGCGUGGGGAGCGAACGGG